GAUGAAGAACGUAGCGAAAUGCGAUAAGUAGUGUGAAUUGCAGAAUUCAGUGAAUCAUCGAAUCUUUGAACGCACAUUGCGCCCCUUGGUAUUCCAUGGGGCAUGCCUGUUCGAGCGUCAUUUGUACCUUCAAGCUCUGCUUGGUGUUGGGUGUUUGUCUCGCCUCUGCGCGUAGACUCGCCUCAAAACAAUUGGCAGCCGGCGUAUUGAUUUCGGAGCACAGUACAUCUCGCGCUUUGCACUCAUAACGACGACGUCCAAAAGUACAUUUUUACACUCUUGACCUCGGAUCAGGUAGGGAUACCCGCUGAACUUAAGCAUAUCAAUAAGCGGAGGA
Molecule: unclassified non-coding RNA, 337 nt
Filed under: soil metagenome
Description: partial contains 5.8S ribosomal RNA, internal transcribed spacer 2, and large subunit ribosomal RNA
Rfam family: 5.8S ribosomal RNA (bases 1-120)
Source: RNAcentral